CUGUAAAUGGACGAAACUGCUCUCAGACUCGUCAGUCCAGUCUUCGUUUUCUGACCUGACACUUUCCGCUGUUCGGUUUUCAAGACUUGAGUAUCCGUCUAAGUGUUUUUCGACGGUAUUUGCAUAACUAAAAAGAAUGCAAAUCCCGUACUUCAACAUGUUCUGGUUUAACGUUGCACUCUGGACAAUCCUUCUCCUGUUUUAUAUAGCUUAUUCUACAGCUUGGGUCGUCGAUCAAUGCAUCAUCUGCUGUAGAAGGAAGAAAAAGCAUCAGAAGUGUUCCCAUUCUAUAGAAAUGACAAGUGUCCAGGAUACUCUCUCGGACGACCGUCCUCAGACCGAAGCAGAGGUUUGUCCUCGCCACUCGACAACCUGCUCUACCCUCAAUGGACGUCAAGGCCUUCCUCAAGACGGGCAUACUCCGCGUCUUCAACAGACUGAAGAAGUAAGUGUAGCUUCGUCAGUUUCUAGAUGAUGAGACUGCAAUUUUAGACAUCUGAGAAUGAGAAAAUGGGACUUCCAGUAGCAGAAUCUCCAACAAAUUUUAAACUGAGAGAGCUUUUGGAAAAAUAGACAAGGAACUUCACGAUAUGAUGGUAACUGAUGUGGUAGUUUACUGUUGACUGGACGAAGAGUGUGAGCAUUGCAAGAUUAUAGGUUCUUACUACGGCAAAUUGCUGAUGCUGUGAUUAUCCGGGAAAAAUAAAUCCCAGGAAGGUAUCUUUCGACAUUCUAU
Macrobrachium nipponense is the source of this 736-nucleotide long non-coding RNA. RefSeq lists it as uncharacterized. Lineage: Eukaryota; Metazoa; Arthropoda; Malacostraca; Decapoda; Palaemonidae. The transcript has 4 exons. The record is from RefSeq and is a predicted model, not a curated record.